RNAcentral lists this ribosomal RNA (496 nucleotides) under uncultured bacterium. RNAcentral's name for it is "partial 16S ribosomal RNA". It matches the Rfam family "Bacterial small subunit ribosomal RNA", at positions 28 to 507 of the family's 1533-position model. The record is from RNAcentral.
GAUGAACGCUGGCGGCGUGCCUAAUACAUGCAAGUCGAGCGAACGGACGAGAAGCUUGCUUCUCUGAUGUUAGCGGCGGACGGGUGAGUAACACGUGGAUAACCUACCUAUAAGACUGGGAUACUUCGGGAAACCGUAGCUAAUACCGGAUAAUAUUUUGAACCGCAUGGUUCAAAAGUGAAAGACGGUCUUGCUGUCACUUAUAGAUGGAUCCGCGCUGCAUUAGCUAGUUGGUAAGGUAACGGCUUACCAAGGCAACGAUGCAUAGCCGACCUGAGAGGGUGAUCGGCCACACUGGAACUGAGACACGGUCCAGACUCCUACGGGAGGCGGCAGUAGGGAAUCUUCCGCAAUGGGCGAAAGCCUGACGGAGCAACGCCGCGUGAGUGAUGAAGGUCUUCGGAUCGUAAAACUCUGUUAUUAGGGAAGAACAUAUGUGUAAGUAACUGUGCACAUCUUGACGGUACCUAAUCAGAAAGCCACGGCUAACUACGUG